GGUGCCGACCCCGUCCCGUCCCGCUGCGGGCUCCCCGGGCUGUUUUACCCUUCCCGGUGCCCGCCGCCGUCGAGCUCCUCACACGGGAGACGGGCCUCGCACCGGCUGAGGGCGGGAAGGCCUCGAUGGCGGCUCCGCCCGCCGUAAGGGGGCCGGGGCGGACAAACAAGCGACGGGGAAGGCAGCUGAGAACCGCUCCCUGCUCGCUCUGCCCCCUUCAGAGCCCAGACACCGCCGGGGGCUGCCCCGACAGCGGCUGCCCCCUGCCCGUCCGCUCCUCAGGGAGCCUGGGACGGUCCCGGCUGGGUCUGGAGGCUCUGGGGGUGUGGAAGUGGAGGCGGCAGCGAUGGCUCGGGGUGUGCGGGGCUCUGCCGAGGGGGAGCUUAAUUAAUUAAUUAAGAGGAGGAAGAACUGGAGCUGGCUCCUGCAGGCUGGGAGACACGGCAAGCGACAUUUGCCGUGGAUCCAUGAGACGAAAAGAGAGGAAACGGCCACAGCCAAGCUGCUCACUCCCCUUAAGCACACCCACACCGUACUACCUCAGGGGUGCUCAACAAAGUAGAAGAAAACUCUGUGAAGAAGAAGAUACCAAAGGGAAAUUAAAUCACAAUUGAAAGAAUAAGCUCAUCAUCAAACCUGUUUGAAGAUACUGGCUUAGAUCCUCAGCGUACACAUAUAUCUUAUUUAAAAAAUACUCCAGAAGGCCCGCCAGAAGUACCUGAGCCAUGUCAGCCAGCACAUUGAAGGAUGCACUGAAAGACAGACUCAUAUGAGGAGAACAGAACAUGACCGUCAACUUUUGGAAGAUGUAAAAGCAAAACUAAACAACCCACACACCUUGAGGAACAAUUGCCAAAGGUGUAAAAGAUAAUUAAAAAAUAUCAGAAACAGGAAGCCUGCCAGAAAGAUAAUUGGACUCACAUAUUUUCAGGGUGUAAAAGGAGUACUUAACGAAAGUAGGGCAAUUGCAGGCGAGCUAAGCCAGUCAUUUGCAGCAAUGUUUUACUGCAGUGGAAACAUCUUUUCUUGCGAGAAGAGGGAAUAUUACUCAGAGACGGAUAGCUGGAAGCAGUAAGCAACAGAUUUCAUAGCGAGAAAGGUUAUUAGCGAUGUCCCCGUGGAUUUCUGUGGGAACCUGUGCUGUUCGGGGUACUCGUCCAAUACCCGGGAAACGCUCCCAGCAGUGAGGUGCUGCUAUUGAUGGAGGGUUACUCACUCAGAUGGCUGGAUCAAAAGUGAAUGGCAAUAAACUGUGGAAAACUCACAACACAAAGUUGGAAAAAAAGUAAAUCAACUCAUUGGUAGUAAGUACAAAAUAAUGAUUGCGUUAACCAGUAGUUUUUCUGAGCACAGGAACUAAUGAAGUCUACUUUUAUAACCAGCAGUUGAAUGACAUCUUAAUUAAAUUAUAUUAAGGCUGCAGUGUGACUUCCAUCUUUAUAUUACACAUAAAAGAAUCCACAGAGAAAAACCCUGGCUAAGGUUCGAAUUCUCUGGUAUCUAAUGAGGCAUCAAAUGCCACUGAAACUUUUUUCUGCAGGUAGGGCACUCAGGCUGCUCUCUCAGGUCUGCGAUGACUGCUAAGCGUUAGAUCCAGUGAGCCUUGCCCUCGCUGGAGACACUCAGCAUCUCCUGUCCGGCUUCCUAUUUCUCAGCAGCAGGGCUGCCUACCUUCACAAAACUUACCGAAACUUCAGGUGGCAAAACCUUUAUGCAACUUGUCUAAUUUGCUUGAAAUUCAAAAGCAAAUGUUAAAUUUAAAGGUAAUAACAAGGCAUCCAAAAAAUAUUUUGAGGUGCAGUAAUCAUGUAACACGCUUGCGUAAAUGCUGUGUGUCUGGGAACCAGUCUAACCUUGACUCCACAGGUGGGCCUCUCUCCUAAACCAGCUGUUACCACCUAAGGAAGAGAUCUUGCAGUUUUCAUGGAUAUUUCUGUGAGGAGGCUCAGUAGUAAUCAGGGGCAAAUAGAAGAAGGAAUUACUGGAGAAGAAAUUGAGAGGAAAAAGAUGUCACGAGGACAGUGUGCAAACCCCUGAUGAGUCCUCGCUCUCCUGGAAGAUGGCAUGAAGUCUGUUCACUUGACAUAGGGCAUAUUAGAAACGGAAAGGGUAAAAGGGGAGGCAAAAAAACAUUCAAAUAUACAAAAUGGACUCAUUUAAAGAAGAUAUCCUCUAGCCCAGAGCUCCUCAUAUUUGGAGAGGAGACAAUUACGAGGGUAUGACAGAUGUCUUCAAAACCAUGGAUGGUGUUGAGGGAGUGAACAAGAAGUGACUAUUCACUCGCUCGACUCGCAUUGAACAGUCCCUGGAAAGGGACUGGAGAGCUCAUUCAAGGCAAGCACCCUACCACUUGUCUGAAAAUUCAUGCCCCUGCUCGCACGUUCCCUCCGAACAAGCUUAAAUAAUUCCAUCCUUUGGCAGACAAACAGCACUGAUGGCAGGGAGUGAGCACACACUUAAAGCAGCCUGUGCUACAGGGGGUCUUGAAGAAGUCUUCUGAAAUGCUGGAGACUCGGGCUUGUUUCUCCUCAGGCCCAUGCCAGCCACCAUGUGGGAAACCUUCCGUGUGAAGUAUAAUUCAGUUAAAAUCCCCAGAGGAGACCCAGGAAAAGACCAUCAUCACUGAUUUGAAAUAAAGAUAUAUCGUGCCUUGUCAGAUGCUGGAAGAAAGGACAUGGUGCUUACCUUGACACAAGACCACCGUGCUGUGAAGCCUGAGUGGCGGGAGGCCCCCUGGGCCAGCACAGAGCCCGAAGUCUCAGCUCCAGCAAGGAACGGUGCCCACAAUCCAUCACCAUCCUGAGCCUUCCUAUCUGCCAGCAUAACCAGUUCCUGGUUCUGCCUGGCAGGGACUCAUCACAUGUAUUCUGUGGGGGGGCUGCUUUGAUUUGUUUGGAAACCUAUUUAAUUUUUGUUUGUUGUGGAUCCCACUCUAAGACACCUAAAUCUUCCUGUGAAUUGUUUAAGGAGUCUGACCAUGAGGCUCAGAUAACGAAGUGCUUCAGCCCUUCUGUGAACCUGGGUCACGGUGAUUUCGUUUUUCCCCACAUAUGGAAGAGUGAAAUCAUAUCACUUUUUAGUAGAAAUAUUACUGUAAUUGAAAAUUUAUUUUAAAUUUCUAACGUCACUGAGUACGUACAGUUUAUGAAAGCCAAAGUCCUUUUCUGCUACAUUGAAAAGAAUAAACAAACCCCCAACACAGCUCCAUUAGAAACCCCCCUCACUAAGUUUAAGAGUGCGUAUGCAGAGAACACAGAGCAAACGCCAGUGCUCUGUGCAUUCUCCAAUAAAGACUUAGAACAGCAAUGUCUACAGGCAGGACGUUUCUUCCAAAGCCAGAGAGCCCCACCUUCACCACCAUGCUCUGAAGGCCAAUACCGAAAGCCAACACAUCGUACAGGAUUCCUUCCGUUCAUUAACAGUAAUUCCUAAGACUUAAAACUAAUGCGUUAAUCACAUUAAUGAUAAUCCAUUAAUGUGAGGAACCUGGAGAU
Long non-coding RNA from Cygnus olor (mute swan), 3494 nucleotides. RefSeq lists it as uncharacterized. Lineage: Eukaryota; Metazoa; Chordata; Aves; Anseriformes; Anatidae. The transcript is spliced from 2 exons. The record is from RefSeq and is a predicted model, not a curated record.